Molecule: ribosomal RNA, 510 nt
Filed under: uncultured bacterium
Lineage: Bacteria
Description: bacterial SSU rRNA
Rfam family: Bacterial small subunit ribosomal RNA
Source: RNAcentral
AACGAACGCUGGCGGCGUGCCUAAUACAUGCAAGUCGAACGAGAGGAUGGGGUAACCCAUUAGUAAAGUGGCAGACGGGUGAGUAAUACAUAAGUAACUUACCUUUUAGUUGGGGAUAACCUUCCGAAAGGAGGGCUAAUACCGAAUAAGACCACAAGAACUACGGUUCUAGGGGUUAAAGGUGGCUUCGGCUAUCGCUAAAAGAUGGGCUUAUGCACCAUCAGGUAGUUGGUAAGGUAACGGCUUACCAAGCCUAUGACGGUUAACUGAUCUGAGAGGUUGAUCAGUCACACUGGAACUGAGACACGGUCCAGACUCCUACGGGAGGCAGCAGUAGGGAAUAUUGCGCAAUGGAGGAAACUCUGACGCAGCGACGCCGCGUGGGUGAUGAAGGCUUUCGGGUCGUAAAGCCCUGUCGGAGGAGAAGAAAACGGUAUGGCUAAUAUCCAUACCGCUUGACGGUAUCCUUAAAGGAAGCACCGGCUAACUACGUGCCAGCAGCCGCGGUAA